AGCGCUCCGUAGUUUCUGCGCUCCAGGUCCACUACCUGGUGAAACUAGACAUCAGGGACAUGCGCUCCAAAGUUCGGGCUGUCCACGUCCUUGACCUGGUGACUUUUGACCUUCAGGACUAAUUUUUCCUAGUUCUGACUGUCCUGGUUUUCCACCUUGUGGAUUUUGACAUCCAGGAAAAACGAGGUAUGACCCGAAGUGGUGGACGGUGGUUGGAGGUGCUCGGAGGUGCACGAGGAAAAGGACGAGGAAGACAAAGAGAUGAAGGUGGACGAGGUGGACGAGGAUUUGUGCUCGUAUUUGACAACAGUGAUACCUUAUCACGUGGACAGUGGCCCACCUGAUGAUCAAGCCUUACAAGUCCUCAUUAAGAUAUUGAAGGCUAUUAAUGAGGAUAGUCCAACGGUGCCCACAUUAUUAACGGACUACAUAUUGAAAGGUGGGUUGAUUUCUUUCACCUUGUCUUGAAUCCGUGCGAGAUAAACACUUGUAUAUUUCACGGUCCCGUUAUUAUCAUGAGGUUGAAGUUCGUAAUGUUAUUCAGGCUA
RNA transcript from Neodiprion virginianus, 548 nucleotides. It is a transcript of the gene named fasciculation and elongation protein zeta-2-like, with no coding region annotated. The record is from RefSeq and is a predicted model, not a curated record. Lineage: Eukaryota; Metazoa; Arthropoda; Insecta; Hymenoptera; Diprionidae. The transcript has 3 exons.